CCUACGGGAGGCAGCAGUAGGGAAUCUUUCACAAUGGGCGAAAGCCUGAUGGAGCAACGCCGCGUGCAGGAUGAAGGCCUUCGGGUUGUAAACUGCUUUUAUAAGCGAGAAAUAUGACGGUAACUUAUGAAUAAGCCUCGGCUAACUACGUGCCAGCAGCCGCGGUCAUACGUAGGAUCCGAGCAUUAUCCGGAGUGACUGGGUGUAAAGAGUUGCGUAGGUGGCAUAAGAAGUAGCUAAUGAAAUCUGGUGGCUCAAACAUUGAGACUAUUAGCGAAACUGUUAAGCUCGAGACCGUUAGAGGUAACUGGAAUUUCUAGUGUAGGGGUGAAAUCCGUAGAUAUUAGAAGGAACACCAGUAGCGUAGGCAGGUUGCUGGGACGGUUCUGACACUGAGGCACGAAAGCGUAGGGAGCAAACGGGAUUAGAUACCCGGGUAGUC
This 442-nucleotide ribosomal RNA is filed under the name uncultured bacterium. RNAcentral describes it as "partial 16S ribosomal RNA". It matches the Rfam family "Bacterial small subunit ribosomal RNA", at positions 338 to 795 of the family's 1533-position model. The record is from RNAcentral.